AUGAGUAACAGCACACCAAUGCUUAUUUGAAUAAAGUGUCAUUCAUGGACAAAAACUAAAGAAACCAACUGGGACUAGGGGGCGAGGCCAUGAUAUUAUCAAUUACGUUACACUAGGCAGGCUAUAAUUACCAUUGAGAAUAGAAUGAUAUAUUCACUUCUCAGCAACUCCAAUAUCUGAUAGUAUCAUAUUACCCUACAGGCAUAAUACAAACAACGAAUGAAAUGUGAGUUGCAACAAUCAGGCAAUCAAAAUCACAUUUUGAACAAUAUAGGAACCCAACAUCUAAACAAAAUAGUAUCAACAAUAAACUACUAUUCCUUUCAUGAUACAAGGAAUUUUUGCCUCCAUAAAUUAGUAAUUACUUCAUACGGAGUAAAAUUUAAGGGUACAACAGACACCACCGCCUCAUAAUUCAAGAACCAAACCAUCAAGAAGGCUAUGUUGAAAUCUAAUCACCACAUCCAAAUAGGUAUUUCUCUGGUCUCAACAAGUGACACAAGGAAAUUUUUGUAUCUAGUGAAUACCUUUGCCUAAAUCUAGUACAAGGUUCUGUUUUUAUCUUGUAAACAUAUAUAUACAUCCAAACAUGUAUACACACACACACGUGUAUGCACUCUGAAGUUCCCUAGAAAUUAUAAGUAGGUUUUGUAGGUACAUGGCUAUGACCAAUUCUUGUCCUAGCUUGUAGUUCUAGGUUAGCCCAAGGGUGUACCUUUUCCAAAAUUUCUCUUUAUGAUGUUGCUUUAUCCUUCUAGGUAUAUAUUGUUAAUGGCCACAACCUCAGCAAUCUUUUUCAUGUUUCCAUGCAUGGAUCAGUUUAAAAAGGAAAAACACAUGAUUUCCAGAGUUUGAACUUCCAUUAUUUUACUAUAGGUACAAGGUUAACAUUUUUUGGUAUUCAUGCCCCAGUUUAGUCAUUUUCAUACUGACAUGUGUUAAUGGUGUUUCUUACAUGCUUAUUGAUGAAAUCCUCCCUUCCCAAGUCCACAAUUCAUUCUAAGUUUAUCAAAAGACAUCAAGGCAUCAUAGAAAAUCAACAAUUCUAAUAUUGUAACAUCUCCAACAUUUGUAGAAAACACAAGAUUCCAUAUUUAAUCUCUAGAUUGUAAAUUAAGGUUCAAAACUCAAAAGCACAUUCAUAUAGACACAAACCUCACUAGCCAUCAGCUUCCGGACAUUAUUAGCAUAUAAUUUUCCCAUACAUUACAAAUGAGCUUAAUUUGAGAGUUAUACCCUGGUAAUGAGAGAACCUGUUUUGGGCAACAAUUCAAAUCAUGACAAAAUUUUUUGGUCUCCAUCUCAUCCUUGUAGCAACAUGUACCUUACUCAUGUCAUUCCUCUUGUGUGGAGCUACCAUUAUCUUACCAAUAACAUGCAAAGUAGACAAUAAGAUUGAACAAUAAAUCAAAAUUCCUUAAGUUUAGAAUCUUAUACUGUAAGGAGAGUGGAACUAUGAGUGUCCAAGUGUGGUUGCUUGUCAAGAGUUGAAAAUUUGGAUGAUUAUUUGGAGGUUCUAUUCAAAUUCUUGGGCAGAAUGAUUAGAGAAUGAAAAAUGAUUAAGAAAUUUAGACAACAAUAGAGCAAGUAAGAAAAAUUCAGAUCUGAAAUGAAGUAUGAAAUAGACUAAGAAUGAUAAUUAGUUCAUUUGUAGCCCUUAUAAGAAGAUAACUAAGUCUCCAAGUGUAUUAUUACUUUCCUUGUUCAAAAUGGUACACAAGAACUUGUUUCCCCAAAACCAAAACACAAUCUUCUUAGGUGUAAGUGGAUUUUUCACAUUAAGCAUUUACCUGAUGGUUCUGUUGACAAGUACAAAGCUCAUCUUGUCACCAAAAGAUUUCAGCAAUGACCGGGCAUUGAUUAUCAUGAUGUUUUCAAUCCUGUUGUCAAACCCACCAUUAUACAUCUUGUUCUUAGUAUUACAAUCAGCCAUGCUUGGUUUCUCUACUAACUUGAUGUUAAUAAUGCUUUUCUUCAAGGCCACUUGUUUGAAGAUGUUUUCAUGGCUUAACCAUUGGGAUUCAUUAACUGUGAUCAUCCUAAUUAUGUGUGCAAACUUUAAAAAGCUAUCUAUGGUCUCAAGCAAGCACUACAUGCUUAGUAUCAUGAGCUCCACUAGUUUCUUCUCACCUCUAGCUUCACUAACUCUCAUACUUACACUUGACUAUUUGUCCUCAAUACUAGUGGUGUCAUGGUUUAUCUCCUUGUUUAUGUUGAUAAUGUUAACAUAACAAGUGACAAUGAUGGUGUCGUGUAAAAGUUCAUCCUAAUCUUGCCCAACAAUUCUCCCUUAAGGAUCUCGAGUCUCUUUCUUAUUUUCUUAGCAUUAAAGUCACACACCAUCGUCAUGGAUUAUUUCUUUCUCAACACCAAUAUAUUGGCGAUCUCUUAGCUCACACUCACUUGUCAAAUGCUAAACCAAGCGCCACACCACUUACUACAUCUCCAACACUUGAACUCUAUACUGGUACCGCCCUCUCUAAUCCAAUAGAGUAUCAGACUAUUAUUGGCAAUAUUGAGUAUAUUUCUCACUCGACCUUAAAUAGCUUUUACACUGAGUAAACCCUCACAAUUUAUGCAUCACCCUACUAGUGCUUAUUAAACUAUUGUCAAACGCCUUUUUUGGUACCUUUGUGGCACAUAUGAUCAUGGUUUGGUUCUUUAUCGCAACUCUCCUUCUCUUUUCAUGCUAAAGAUAAUUUUACUUCUAUAAGUGCUUACAUCGUUUACAUUGGUCGUAAUCCUAUCUCAUGGAGUUCUAAGAAGUAAAGAAUUGUUGCACACUCUUCUAUUAAAGCGGAAUAUCGUUUUGUUGCAUAUACAUCUACAGAAUUACGUUGGGUAUGUUCACUUCUUAUUGAACUUAGUGCUUAUGUUCUACAAGUGUCUAUGAUCUAUUGCAAUAAUGUUGAUACUACUCAUCUCAACUCCAAUACGAUCUUUCAUUCCUGCAUGAAACAUAUUGAAUUGGAUUAUCACUUUAUUCAUGAACAAGUUCAAAGUGAUGCUCUCUGUGUGGCUCAUGUUUACUCCAAAGAUCAGUUAGUUGAUGCGCUCACCAAGCCUCUUCCACAUGCAUGAUUUCUCACUCUUCAAGCCAAGAUUCAACGCUCCUCCUAGAGCCCCAUCUUGUGGAGGCAUAAUACAGAAACUAAAUAAUUUAAAUAUUAGUUUAUCCUUAAUUUAACUAUUAAUAUUUAUCUAUUAAUUAUUAGUUUGAAUUAGAGUAAAAUAUAAAGUUUGAAUUAGAGUAGAAGUGUACUAUUAGUUUGAAUUAGAGUAGAAGAUAGAAUUUGAAUUAUAGUAAAAUUGAAAUGUAUUUAUAUAUAAAUAUUCCACAUUAUCAAUGAGAAUGUAAGUGUGGACCCUCCAUUUUGGCUCAUGCGUUUCCCACUCGAUGGCGAACUCGAUUUAUUAUUUGAAAAAUGAUUUUUAUUGUUUUAGAAAAAUGACUUGGAGUCACCACUUAUUUUUGUUUUAUUUUGAAGGGUAUACAAAAUAAGAAAGAAAAACCUUAAGUGCGACUCCUUAUUUUGGAAAAGAUGGUCUGUGAAAAACCGGAUUGGGUUCGGGGGUCAGGUUACUAUUCGAGAAGGUACGGUAAAAACCGUAGCACCCCUCUAAGUCCCUAAAGUCGGGUCUCUACUAAUGAGAUGAAGCAAUAAUGACAAUGGAUGAGUAAAUCAAUGAAUACCUGGAAUAAAUCAUGCACACGUGGGUAUCAGAACAUGCAUAGACACUUAUCAAAGUGAAAGUGGAUACAUACCUGGGCAACGAGCCACCAUGCGCUAUCAAGAGAGAGAGUUAGUGCACAAUUAAGGAAUGAUAGCAUGCAUGUCAAUGUCAGGGAGCAGGAUAAAUCAAUCAUGUAUGAUAAUCAAAUCAAUCAAUCAGUCAAUCAAUUAUAAAAUUAUUUAUGUGGGGCCCCCACCAAUGCCCGAUUUAUUUUAGCAUGAAUUAAUUUCGUAAAUUCCAUUAAUUGGAAUUACAAAAUUAAAAUCUUGCUUAUUUUAAAACGUUUUAAAACAAAUGGGGAUGUAGAAAUUGUUUGCUAGAAGGAAAGAUGGCAACAAAGUUUUACUAAAAAUGGGACUCUUGGGUGAUCCUAAAAAUUCUAAGGAUGAAAUAUGGGGAAAUUGGAAUUAUUUGAAAACCUGAAAUCGAGAAAGUAUUACCAAAAUGAGGUAUAGGGAAACUGCUUUCAAAAUCAAGGGAUGAUGAACUGGGUCGAUAGCUCAUGGCAUAAGAAAAGGAAAAAAGUUGCAUGCCAAAGGUGGCCAUACAACUGGAAGCAUGCAGUGGUGAGCUUAGGGAGGAAUGAUGCUGGCAGAGAUGUGGGCUCCAUCUCUUGAAUCUGAUCUAUCAUCUUCUCUCAUUUGUCCAUGUCACUACCACUGUCACCAAACCAUAGGCCUUCUAAUCACGUGAUGACUCCACUGUAGACUGUUUGAUGCAUUCUCAUAUAAACUCUUAAACACCUUUUGAGCUACAGUCAAUGCAGCCUCGUCUCGGCACAUACAUUUGAGUAUUAUUUCGGGAAUCUGAGUGAUAAACCCCUAAAUUUCAGCAUCCUGAGUCCUUGGUUAGCAAAGCUUCCAACUCCUGUGCAGCAAUUUGGUACUUAUCUAAUGCAUCUCCAAUAUUCAACAAGGGUUUAGAGAUGCACUCCACAAAUGUUUUGUGGUAGAAGCAGCAGGCAAUGAUAGUGGAGUAGCUCCCAAUCCUUUUCCAACAUUAGAGGCCUCCACUGGAUGAACUUCAGGGGUAGGAGCCAUUGACGAAAAUGAAAUAGAGUUAAGUUUAGAGCCAUGAGGAGAAACACCAUCCAUCACUCCAAUGCGUACAAAAGGGCCACUGAGGAAUUGGGCAGAACUGGGAUCCAUAUCCUCAAGAAUUAGAUCCAAGAGCUAAGUAGCACUCGAUCCAGUGGCCCCGGUCCCAGUAGAGUAGAAGCCUAGGCUAAGCUGUCUUGAUGAUGAAGCAUAAGCGCGAGACAAACUAGAACUGCCAAGACCACCAAAUACAGCAUGUGAUCCAACAGGAACUGCAUUUGAGCUCUGUCCAGAUUGAUUUUGCCAGANNNNNNNNNNNNNNNNNNNNNNNNNNNNNNNNNNNNNNNNNNNNNNNNNNNNNNNNNNNNNNNNNNNNNNNNNNNNNNNNNNNNNNNNNNNNNNNNNNNNGGACAAAUGACCAUGUUUGGGGAGGAGGGNGUGGGUAUGAAGGUUAUAUAGGUUACAUAUGGUGGGUACAUGUGGAAAUGAGCAAGAGAUUAUGGUAUAAUAUGGGCUCGGUGAGUAUAUGGAAUAAGAAAUGGGUAUGGUUACUUAAUUGGGUAGGUAUGAGAGAUAUAGAUGGAUGAAGGUGAUGAGCAUGACGGCGGGAUAGGAUGAAGAAGAGUGUGAGAGGAGCGACGGAUGGCCAUGCGCGGGAGACGUUAAAUAGAGAACGAGUGGCGAGAGAGAGGGAGAGACACGGGUUAGUGUUCUUGCUCACAGGUGGCAUGGGUGAUGGGAGCAGGGUGUUUGGGAUGGGUAAGGUAAGUUGUAGAUGAGCCCAAGGCUGAGGGAAGUGGGUCGCUGCAGCAUUUGGAGAUGGUAGUAGCCAUCCCGUGCAUGAGUUUCUGGACUCGGAUAGGUAGCGCUCAUUGCUUGCAUCCUCUUUGGGAGAUGAUAGCGAUUUCAGGGCUGACGAGAUAUCAUUGGAAGCAUCAGGAGUCUCUUUCCAUGCUCCCAACAUCUGAUUCAUUAUAUCUUUGCAUUAUGAUUUCCACAGAAACCCCGACAUGUAACAGAAACAAGACGCAGAGGUAGAGAUCCUCAGAAAUGUAUGAGUCAAACAUAGCAGGCGUUCCAACAGCUUUCUUGUCCUGUGGGCCAUGGCAUGGCAACCUCUUCCUCAUCCACAUGCUUAUCUUGAUUAUUUAUUAUGAGUGUCAUUGAUGGCUCAGCAGAUAAGUGGCAGGUGCACCCUCUCUUGGCCAAAGGAACGCCAAUACAAAAUACGACUACGCUCGUCCAAAAGCCGGCGUGACUUUGGGUCAUAUGGGAUUUCCUUGUUGGUCUUGGAUCGGUUUCAUUGGAGGGUGCAACCAAGGGAAUCUGACCGGCGACUUUGACGGCCUGGUUAGAUUAGGACCGCUGGAUAUGGAAGUUGAGAGAUGCGUAGAGACCGACGGCAAAGGGAGGAUGAGAGGGUUUAGAAAGAAUGAGAAGGGCAAAUGUGGUGGUGAAGCAAGUUACUGGCAAUGGGUAUGGAGGAUGGGAAGGUGAUAGUGAGAGAAAAGAUAUGUAGGGGGUAUGAUCAAUGGGGUUUAGAAAAUGGUUGUGAAGAAAUGAUGCAGUGGGUAUGAGGAAGAAAUGAAAGUGUUAGAUUCGACAUUUCAGGUGGGCAUCUGGAUAUGGAAAUGGGGUACUGGCUCACGAUGCUAGAGGUUGGCUGUAUACCAGAGCAAGGAUUCCAAAUUGCCUCAAUGCUGCCAUUGUGCACGAAACCCAGCCGGGUAGCAAACACUGUAUACGUAUAUUUUCAAUGGUAGCUCACUGCAACAAUAAUAUCCCAAUGCCAAUUGACUCUCAUACAACGAUUUCGGCAUAUAUUAAACAAAUCCUGACGCCCGUUCUACAAUCCUUGGAACGACGUGUUACAGCAUGCCAAUGCGGACCCAAACUUCCAACAUGCAAGAGAAGUGGGAGAUCCUGGGGGAAUAAACUGGCUAGCGAAGUCCAUGGGUCAUACUGGACUUGCACUCAAUGCGAUUCAUUAACGGGGACUGUAAGACCAUGAAUCUUAUACACCCAAUACUUAUGGUAUCAAGUCGAGCCUGUCAUCCAUGGCGUUUCGACCCUGGCAGCUUAUUCAUAAAGCUUCACACUAUCUCAAACUUCCAGCGUUGCGUCAUUGUCAUUAUGCUUCCAAGAAACGGGAUAAAGUGCACGACUGCGCUAGAUCUCAUAUAUGGAAUCGUCCUUAAGCAUGACCCAUCAUCGAAACACCUUUCGAUUAUCCGAGAAAACUUGAUUAAUAUAUUCUGCGUUACCUUCAGCAACAUUGGCAAUCACAUUCCCUGUCUAGGAGGAUAACUGGUUGCUCUUCGUGGUGAGUUCGGUGCCGUUUAAGCUUCUCCAUCGCAUCAAAGGAUAGCCAGCCAAAAGGGAAAUGAUACCAUAGAUGAUGAAGGAGUGGCACAGACAGAUGAAGCAGUCAAGAGGUAUCCUUAGAAGUCCUCUGCGGAUGACAUUUUAAGGGCUUUGUGAUACUCUGAAGCAUAGGUACUCAGUUAUGACCUCCAAUCCUGAUAUAGAACACUCAAAACAGGCUCAAUCUACUCAACAUGCUCUUCGGGCACUCCAUAGAAACUAAGCACCUGUAAUCGCAGUUCCCGCUCCUUGGAUUUGCAUUCUCAGAUUGGAGAUGCACCAGUCAAAACACGUCGCGAACAGACACCAAAACAGAGAAAAAAUAUAGAGGAAAAUUGAUAGAACCAAACAAAGAUGGGUGAGAUGGGAGUUGGUUAAGCAAGACCUGGUCUCAUAAUUCAUCCACAGGCUUACCAACUAGUGGGGGAAGAAAUGGAUUUAAAGAGAAAUGAUAAGAAGAAGACCUUGAGAUACCACGCGGAUAAAACUGGUCCAGAUUCACAUCAUUUCUCUCAAAAUGAACCCAGAAAAAAAAAUAUGAACAUGUAGUCAUAGCGAAUCCAAUGAAAACAUAGAAAUCAACAAGAGCAACCACAUGAUAUCCACACGCAAACUGCUAAAUAACACCCAGCUAGGAACAGGGGGGAGCAAAUAACAGAAGAAUAAUGGAGAUAAAUGAGUAGCAUACCUGGAAAAUGCUCUUUCGAGGUUCUAUCCUCUAAACUAUCAGAAAAAAACCUUAUCUACUCCUCCGUAGGUACAACAUCCGCUUCCCCCUCAACGAAACUUGCCCCUCAAGCUCUCUCCCUCUCUCUCUCAAGUCGCUCUCUAUUCUUUUCCUCACUCCCUGAAAAGAUACAAUGCUUCAGAAAACUCUCUCAAAAGCUCUUGGAGUCCUCCCCCCCCUUCUCACCGUUCUUCCAAAAACCAGCCAAAAGCCCUCUUGAAAAGAUCUUACUCUCCUCUCAAUAACUCUCCAGAAUGGCCGCCCAAAAGCACCUCCUCUAGCUCCCUCUCCUAGCUCCCGAAAACUCCCCCCUCCUAAUCACAGCCCAG
This 8192-nucleotide long non-coding RNA is filed under the name Vitis vinifera (wine grape). RNAcentral describes it as "long non-coding RNA (VVIN_LNC005560)". Lineage: Eukaryota; Viridiplantae; Streptophyta; Magnoliopsida; Vitales; Vitaceae. The record is from RNAcentral.